This 305-nucleotide ribosomal RNA is filed under the name uncultured bacterium. RNAcentral describes it as "bacterial SSU rRNA". It matches the Rfam family "Bacterial small subunit ribosomal RNA", at positions 335 to 638 of the family's 1533-position model. The record is from RNAcentral.
AGCCUACGGGGGGCAGCAGUGAGGAAUAUUGGUCAAUGGGCUUACGCCUGAACCAGCCAAGUCGCGUGAGGGAAGACUGCCCUAUGGAUUGUAAACCUCUUUUGCCGGGGAGCAAAAAGCGGUACGUGUACCGCAUCGAGAGUACCCGGAGAAAAAGCAUCGGCUAACUCCGUGCCAGCAGCCGCGGUAAUACGUAGGUGACAAGCGUUGUCCGGAUUUACUGGGUGUAAAGGGCGCGUAGGCGGGAUAGCAAGUCAGUCGUGAAAUGCCGAGGCUUAACCUCGGAGCUGCGAUUGAAACUGUUU